UAACGCGUGAGCAACCUGGCCUAUACAGGGGGAUAACAGGGAGAAAUUCCUGCUAAUACCGCAUAAGACCACAGUAUCGCAUGGUACUGGGGUCAAAGGAGAGAUUCGGUAUAGGAUGGGCUCGCGUCCCAUUAGCUAGUUGGGGGUGCAACGGACCACCAAGGCGACGAUGGGUAGCCGACCUGAGAGGGUGAUCGGCCACACUGGGACUGAGACACGGCCCAG
Molecule: ribosomal RNA, 225 nt
Filed under: uncultured bacterium
Lineage: Bacteria
Description: partial 16S ribosomal RNA
Rfam family: Bacterial small subunit ribosomal RNA
Source: RNAcentral